UUUGUCAUUAAAUUUGUUAUUUAAUAUAACAGUUUAGUUAAGACCGCUGAUGGAUUAAAUCAUGUGAUCUUUUCCUGUUAAUGAUCAAAUUUGGAUCAUUAUUACCUCAUUAAUAAUACUCAUUUUCAGCAAAUGGAUUUUAACAAUAUGUUUAUUUGAAUUUCAUUUAAAUCGAUAAUUUUACAGGAAAUAUUCUUUUGAUAGACAGUCGUGAUCUCAGCUACAAUUUUCAACAAGUUUGUUUCUCUAGAACAGGAAUGGCAAACCUAUGGCACGUGUGUUCAAAGUGGCACACUGGAAAAUUUUUAGGCUCGCAAAACUUGAAACGGAUUAUUAGAGGAAUCGGUUCUAACUCGGUUAAUCGGGGGUUAAUAUUGAUUAAAAUUCGGAUCAGCAUGCGAGGGAUAAUUUUUACAAAAAUUUAGCCAAUUUUGACACGCACCCUUAAAAUAUUUCCCUGUUUCAUGACUCAAUAAUAAAUUGCAAAUUUCGAUCGGAUAGGAUAAUAUUUACAACGAAAUUUUGUAUCAAAACAUGCAAACAUCUUUUUCUUAUUACGUCAAUAAUAAUAAUUCUAUAUCGAUCAUCCUUAAUAGUCUUGAUUCUCUAGUUUGUUAUGAUAAUAUCCGCGAAUUUUAUUUGAUUCUUAAUAAUAUUUAUUCGAAUUAUCGCGCUGACAGACGAACAUCAGACAACUUAAUAUUUAUAUAUGCCUACUCUUUCAUUCCAACCUACUCUUUCAACCUUUGAGUUGCAGAAGGCUUUGCUCAAGGGUUUGGCCGGGG
RNAcentral lists this long non-coding RNA (785 nucleotides) under Androctonus crassicauda. Lineage: Eukaryota; Metazoa; Arthropoda; Arachnida; Scorpiones; Buthidae. The record is from RNAcentral.